This is a non-coding RNA of Microcebus murinus (gray mouse lemur), 1298 nucleotides long. NCBI's taxonomy places the organism in Eukaryota, Metazoa, Chordata, Mammalia, Primates, Cheirogaleidae. The record is from RefSeq and is a predicted model, not a curated record.
CCCGGCCAGGACCUCGCCGUUUCCAUAAACAGAUGGACACCACGGGCCUGGCGCAGGGGCAGAGGCAGUGGGAGGAAAUUGUAUCUGACAAUGAUAACGAUCUGGCAUCUCCCAGAGCUUCACAUCCUGGAGAGUCCAGCGGGCCGUCCAGAUUGCCACUUGUGCAAACGCGGCGGCUGUAAAUAGAAUCGCCCAGCCUGGCUGUCCCUCUAGGGGACCCGCAGGACAUCUCUGCUGCCCCUCCUCCAGAGCUGUGCACAAAGAGGAAGCUGAAGAGGUGGAGGCGUGGAAGCUGCUGGAAGGCUGGAGGAGAUAUUCACUGAGGGCCUGCUGUGUCCCAGGGACUGGUCUACCUGGAGGUUUGAUGGUGAACGAAACAGAGAUUCUGCCCUCCUGGCGCCUUCGAUCUAGGGUGGCUUUAUUGAUACCUACAGAGGAUGUCCAUGUGGCACUUACUGCUCAGAGUGCUUUAACAAUCCCUUAGUAGCAACAGCAGCAGUGGGAGCCUGCAGGAGCCUAAAACUCUGAGAAAAAACCCUUUCUCUUCCAUCAAAGGAGCUGUAGGCCCAAGAGGGUGGGUGAAAUUCUAUUGCAUUUUUUCUCUCUCUUUCUUUCUGGUUGGCCUGGACAUGGGCUCAGUUGUGGGAAAUAAGUAGCAAAGUAGGGUGGCCAAAGCCCCUGCUUUUUGGCCGGAGGACUGAAAAGGGGUGGCCUAGUGAACCAGAAAGUAUGUAGGAGAUAAUGGAGAGGGAGGUGCUUGGGAAAAUGACCUCUUAAAGUGGUUUAUGAACUUGUGGGCUACACCUCAUGAUCUGUGAAAGUGUUAACUUGACCCUAAAUAUUAUAUAUAGACUUUGAGAACUGAACCAUGGGCUGUGUCACUACAUAAGUCUCAGAAUGUACUGCCCACUGGGUGGUAUACAUGCAAUACCAUUCCAAACAGCACUAUAAAAUUUUUGAAUCUUGAACUGAUAUUAGAGCAACAACUCUCAUAAGGCUAGUUGGAACUAGCCUGAAGCCAACUGGGGUAUUUGCUUGCUUAGAAAAACAAACAAACAAACAAACAAACAAACAAAAACAAUAAGAACUUUGAGUCAUUUGAAUGAACACUCAAAAUGUCCAAGAUACAAUCCAAAAUUACCUGGCAUACAAAGAACUACAAAAAUCUCAAGCCAUGCAGAGAAAGAUAAUCAACAGAAAUCAAUGUCUCACUGACAUGAAAAAAAAUUUAAAGCAGUUCUUAUAAAAAUGCUGCAACCAGUUAGAGAGAACACUCUUGAAAUGAAUGAAAAGUUUAU